CUAACCCGUCCGCCCACCAUGGUUCGCUACCUCCCGGCUGCUUCCCUCCCACCCGCCUCUAGGCGGAGUCUCAGUGGCAGGCACGGCGCUGCGGGAUGCGCUCCCAUUGGUGCUCUGCGGCCGGUCCCGCCCGUCGCCCCCUUGGCCCCUUAGGCAGCCGAUCGGUCCGAUGCAGUUUCUGGAGAGGUGAGGCGGGAGUACGUCUCGUAGGCCGUGCGGAGGGCAGCCUCCCGGGGGCCGCGUGUUCACUGCCGCGGAGCGCGGCUGCAGAGCUGCGGGAGCCGGAUCGGGCGCUGAUAGCUGCCCGCCGUUACUCAGCACAACCGGCACCCAUCCCCCGCCGGCCGGGGCUCGAGCGGCGGCGGCUGGGGAAGCGUGGGGCCGCCGCCUCCCAGAGGUGCGCCAGGUGCAGAUCCGGAGGUUAA
This 425-nucleotide long non-coding RNA is filed under the name Amazona collaria (yellow-billed parrot). RNAcentral's name for it is "lncRNA (ENSACOG00000014382.1)". Lineage: Eukaryota; Metazoa; Chordata; Aves; Psittaciformes; Psittacidae. The record is from RNAcentral.